GACGAACGCUGGCGGCGCGCUUAACACAUGCAAGUCGAACGGAAAGGCCUGCUUUCCCUUGUGGAUUGCGGGUACUCGAGUGGCGAAGGGAUGAGUAGCACGUGAGUGUUCUGCCCCCAACUUAGGUAUAAGCCUGGGAAACUGUGUCUAAUUCUCGAUAGGACUGCAUGGUGGUGCCUGUGGUGGAAAACGAUUUUCUAGUUGUUGGGGAUGAGCUCGCGGCCUAUCAGCUUGUUGGUGAGGUAAUGUCCUACCAAGGCGGCGACGAGUAGCCGGCCUGAGAGGGGGGACGGCCACAUUGGGACUGAGAUCCGGCCCAGACGGCUACGGGAGGCAGCAGUAGGGACUAUUGCGCAAGGAGCGGAAGCGUGAUGCAGCGACGCCGCGUGGGGGAUGACCGCAUUCGGGAUGUAAACUCCUUUCGACCGCGAGGAAGGCACCUGGUUAGAAGGGUGGUGACGGUAGUGGUAGAAGAAGCCACGGCUAACUACGUG
This 494-nucleotide ribosomal RNA is filed under the name uncultured bacterium. RNAcentral describes it as "partial 16S ribosomal RNA". It matches the Rfam family "Bacterial small subunit ribosomal RNA", at positions 28 to 507 of the family's 1533-position model. The record is from RNAcentral.